UUCAUAUAUGGGGUCCUGGAGAUAAAAGGCUACCACUGUUGGUGGCAGGGCUCAUGGACAAGGAACUAGAACCUCCAGAAAAUACAAUAGUGAAACAGCUAGAGGACCGGCAGAAGCCCUUUCCUGGGCAGCUGCCUUGGGAAGCAGAGGUCACUGAUGUUUCCUAAACAAUGAGUGUGCGCUGCCGUCAUUUACUAGAAUAGGAGCUCACUGGCGCCGGCUGGAUUUGACAUCAACCCUUUACAGAAGGUAACACUGCCUCCACUUUAAAGGUGAGGAAGGGGUAACUUACCUAAAGUCACAGAAUUCCAGAGUAGAACCCACGCGCUGGGGCGGGAAAUGCCCUUACACCUCAGGCUCUGCUGUGCCUCCUGUCACCUGGCCAGCUUGUGAAAAGGCAGUCUCAGAAUCAGCAGAAUCUGGGAAUGAGCAACUCCCAGGAGGGGCACACUCCAGGCUCUAGGACCACGCUGCUUUCUUUAACCCACAUUCCUCUGGGCCACGUAAGCUGGUGUUGCCCUGAAUCUUCAAUGCAGCCUUCCCACCAGGAUGCUGGAGCCUGCUGCAAAACACCCUGACAGCCCUGGCAGCUCUGCUGUGCAUUGUCUCCCUUUCCCUAUUGCUAGGCUGAGUGUUUAAACCCUAAACAUCAGCUUUGAGUCACAAAGACUGGCAGUGGCCUGCUUCAGUGAGGCCCAGAAACCUGUGGAGAAAGACACCUGCUCCCCCCGGAUCGGGAUAAGACUUCGAUGUGACUCUGUAUCUCGGAGGGACUGAUGUGAUGAAAUCUCCCUCUUAUGGCCUCUUGCGUAAGGUGGAGGAAAUUUUCUGCUUAGAUCAGCAGAGGAAUUAGGAGUUUGCGCCACAAGGGCCAAUCUCAGUGGGAAACAGGAAGGAGCAGCAAGCAGCUAACUCAGGUACAUCAAGGACGAGAAGGUGGCUCUGGGCGGAAGCUUGAGGUCUGCUUUGGGAACACAGAAGUAAGGAGAAAGGAUGGCUGCUGACCCUGGGACCUUGUGCGUACGUUGUGGACAUGGACAAGGAAUUGAGGAGGCUGGAAGGUACCAGUCUUACCCAAGAGACAGCAGGAAUGCCAGUGUGUGCACAGGGCUCAGAAAAAGCUUGGUGACCUCCAGUGUAAGGGAAUCAAGUCUUUCAAAGAUUUAACUUGGGCUAAAGUAGCAAACAAAAGAAAGGCAUUCUGGAGAUGUUAGCGGAUAUUUCACAUUUAAGAAGAAAUGAACUUUUCCCCUUCUGUGGACAUCACUGGUGAAGUGGCAAUGGCCAUAAUGACGUUCAGUGUUUUUGUGACUUCUGACCAAAGGGGCAGCCCUAAAAUACAUGCCAGCGCACCUUCCUCUGUUUGCAAGAUUGUCUUCUCUCUGUUUUCAAAGAGCUAAGACAGGAGUAAAACUCUUCUAAGAUGAUGAAGUUCAGGUUGUGCAAGGACAUGAAAAAGGUCAGUGAGCUGGCAAGACCGUCUAGGUUUACAGGAAGAAAUAUGGCAGCUACGUGGAACAGGUGCGGCAGGAAAAGGCUGCAGAAACAACUGUCCGUGUGAGCACUCGGCCCAGCAGGUGGUUGUUGCUGUGCUAAAUCUGGACAAAGACCACAAAAAGAUCCUUGAACAGAAAGCCAAGUUCUGACAAGUAGGAAAGGCAAACGGCAAAGAAUCAACUCAGGAGAUACAGGAUGAAAAUAAUCUUACAUACAGCUUCCCCAAAACUGCUAAAAUGUAAAACAAUAAAAGAAGAAAAAAACAGGGACUGAAGAAACACAGAAACACAGACUGAAGUCUGAUGGAAAAGUGCCCCAUGGGUCAAAGCUAACGUAGACCUUUUUCUCCAAACGGAAUAGGCGUCUCAGAGUUACACACUGAUCAGCAAGGGUUCAGGCAGAAAUUAUUGGAACUUUAAAUUUUUAAAAUCUAAAUGGAGCUCUCGUUCCAUCCAUGAUCAUGUGUCAUGGCCAGUUCAUGAGAUGUCCUCUAGCAAGAUUAGGAAUUGCAAAAUGCAGAGGGGACAACAGUGAUGUGCUGAGUCCUCAGUCCCCUAGAGCUUUCAACAAGAUCUGAACCACCAAGGUUCACACGUUUCUGACUCAUUAGCUAUAUCCACUUUAACAUAAUAUAGCCAAUGUGGACACAUGUGUUAAAAAUAUCCCUGCAUAGAAACAAUGGAUCAAAGAUCAUAUUAGGCAAAUAAGUACAUGCAAAUGGAACGGUGACACUGACAUUUCCCUAACAAUAGGUUCUCUUUGGCCAUAUGACAAGCUGAAAACAGUUACUAAGUAUUCACAUAGGAUAGGAAAUCAAACCAAACAGUUAAAGUUUCUUUCAACAAAACUCUUAAACAAAAAAAAUUUAAAUUUUCUAUCACUUACAUGCACCUUACCUUACAUAUUUAUUGUUUGUUAGAGUAUUAGUGGAUACUAUGAAGCCAUCAUAAUUUAAAAGAUACUUUAAAUUUUUUCUUGCAUCAUCUAUAUCUCAG
This is a long non-coding RNA of Cavia porcellus (domestic guinea pig), 2492 nucleotides long. The record is from Ensembl. Lineage: Eukaryota; Metazoa; Chordata; Mammalia; Rodentia; Caviidae.